GGCGGCGUGCUUAACACAUGCAAGUCGAGCGGAAAGGCCCUUCGGGGGUACUCGAGCGGCGAACGGGUGAGUAACACGUGAGUAACCUGCCCCUGACUCUGGGAUAAGCCCGGGAAACUGGGUCUAAUACCGGAUACGACCACUCCACGCAUGUGGUGGUGGUGGAAAGUUUUUUCGGUUGGGGAUGGGCUCGCGGCCUAUCAGCUUGUUGGUGGGGUAGUGGCCUACCAAGGCGACGACGGGUAGCCGGCCUGAGAGGGCGACCGGCCACACUGGGACUGAGACACGGCCCAGACUCCUACGGGAGGCAGCAGUGGGGAAUCUUGCGCAAUGGGCGAAAGCCUGAGCCAGCGACGCCGCGUGGGGGAUGACGGCCUUCGGGUUGUAAACCUCUUUCAGCAGGGACGAAGUUGACGUGUACCUGCAGAAGAAGCGCCGGCUAACUACGUGCCAGCAGCCGCGGUAAUACGUAGGGCGCAAGCGUUGUCCGGAAUUAUUGGGCGUAAAGAGCUCGUAGGUGGCUGGUCGCGUCUGCCGUGAAAGCCGCAGCUUAACUGCGGGUCUGCGGUGGAUACGGGCCGGCUAGAGGUAGGUAGGGGCAAGUGGAAUUCCUGGUGUAGCGGUGAAAUGCGCAGAUAUCAGGAGGAACACCGGUGGCGAAGGCGGCUUGCUGGGCCUUACCUGACGCUGAGGAGCGAAAGCGUGGGGAGCGAACAGGAUUAGAUACCCUGGUAGUCCACGCUGUAAACGUUGGGCGCUAGGUGUGGGGGUCUUCCACGAUUCCGUGCCGGACGUAACGCAUUAAGCGCCCCGCCUGGGGAGUACGGCCGC
This 831-nucleotide ribosomal RNA is filed under the name Nonomuraea sp. IM-3235. RNAcentral describes it as "bacterial SSU rRNA". It matches the Rfam family "Bacterial small subunit ribosomal RNA", at positions 38 to 889 of the family's 1533-position model. The record is from RNAcentral. Lineage: Bacteria; Bacillati; Actinomycetota; Actinomycetes; Streptosporangiales; Streptosporangiaceae.